GUGGGGAAUCUUGCGCAAUGGGCGAAAGCCUGACGCAGCCAUGCCGCGUGAAUGAUGAAGGUCUUAGGAUUGUAAAAUUCUUUCACCGGGGACGAUAAUGACGGUACCCGGAGAAGAAGCUCCGGCUAACUUCGUGCCAGCAGCCGCGGUAAGACGAGGGAUCCUAGCGUUGUUCGGAAUUAUUGGGCGUAAAGCGGGUGCAGGUGGCUUGGUAAGUCAGAUGUGAAAGCCUGGGGCUUAACCCCAGAAGUGCAUUUGAUACUGCUGAGCUUGAGUGCUGGAGAGGCUAUUAGAAUUCCUGGUGUAGGGGUGAAAUACGUAGAUAUCAGGAGGAAUACCGGAGGCGAAGGCGGAUAGCUGGCCAGACACUGACACUCAGACCCGAAAGCGUGGGGAUCAAACAGGAUUAGAAACCCUGGUAGUCC
Molecule: ribosomal RNA, 425 nt
Filed under: uncultured bacterium
Lineage: Bacteria
Description: partial 16S ribosomal RNA
Rfam family: Bacterial small subunit ribosomal RNA
Source: RNAcentral